UACGAGGGGGGCGAGCGUUGUUCGGAAUUAUUGGGCGUAAAGGGUGCGUAGGCGGUUUGGUAAGUCUCGUGUGAAAUCUCCGGGCUCAACUCGGAGCCUGCACGAGAAACUGCCGGGCUUGAGUGUGGGAGAGGUGAGUGGAAUUCCUGGUGUAGCGGUGAAAUGCGUAAAUAUCAGGAGGAACACCUGUGGCGAAAGCGGCUCACUGGACCAUAACUGACGCUGAUGCACGAAAGCUAGGGGAGCAAACAGG
Molecule: ribosomal RNA, 253 nt
Filed under: uncultured bacterium
Lineage: Bacteria
Description: partial 16S ribosomal RNA
Rfam family: Bacterial small subunit ribosomal RNA
Source: RNAcentral